AUGCCAGCAUCCCAUACCGGGGUGCUGGCUGGAGUCUUGGGUACUCUGCUUCCAAUCCAGCUCUCUGCUAAUGCAUCUGAAAAAAAAGCAGAACGCACUGAUGCAGGGGAUGUCCACACUGGCUUAGGGAGAGAUGGAGCUGUCACCAGGGCUGGGACCCACCUGAAAGAGGGAGUGGGGAGGGGCGGGGGGGAGGUGCUCGUCACAGAACUCCAGGAUGCAGAAGGCAGGGAGGGCGGGGGAGGGGGAGGCUGGAGGGGGAGGGUGGCCGAGGAGCUGCCAGCUCCGGGCUGCUGUGAGCCUGCUGCCGUGGGCUGAGUGCUGCUUAGCUGGGCCCGGGCUUGGAAGGUGCUGGGAGAGGAGGUGCUGAUGCUGCCAGCAGCGCAGAUGGAGGAGGAAGUGGGAAGCUGGAGGCGGGGCAGGCACAGGGCCCUGGCACGGGAAGGCGCACCUCCCCCCAGGGGGCCUGGCGCUGGGGGGACUCACUGCCCCGUCCAGGGCCCAGCAUUCAGACUCGCUGGUCCCAGCACGGGUGUCGGGCGUGGAGGGUCACGGGGUUAGGGCUCAUGGUCCCCAGGAGGGAGGUGCAUCCGGCACCAGGGGAAGAGACAAGCAAAUGCCCCCCUGGCUGGAGCAGUCGGGAGUCUGAGUCCCUGGAACAGGAGGCCCUCGCCACACUGCCACAUCCCUGGGCAGGAACCCAGGUCCCCAACCGUGGUGUCCUCUCCCAGGGAAGAGAGAAAAAAAAAACAAUGCAGGUUGCACCACCUCAGGACUGUGGCAAGGACACCCUCAGUAGCUGGAGCUUGGUGUCCAGACCUUUUUAUUUUCAGCAUUUAUUUUAGAGGCCAGCACUCUGAUACAUGCAGGUGAAAAGCCACGGCCUGCAGCGCCAGCAUCCCGAAUGUGAACCAGCAGAUGAAAGAUUCUCUCUCUCUUUCAAAUACAUAAAUUCAUAAAAUCUUUUUAAAAAGAUUCAUUCUAUUUACUUAAAAAGUAGAGUGAUGGGGGCUUGGGGGAGAGAUCUUGUAUCCUCUGGUUUGCUCCCCUAAUGAUCUCAACAGCCAGAGCUGGUCCUGGCCAAAGCCAGGAGCCAGGAGCUUCUUCCAGGUCUCCCAUGUGGGUGCAGGGGCCCAAGCAGUUGGACUACCUUCUGCUGCUUUCCCAGGCACGUUAGCAGGGAGCUGGAUCAGAAGCCAAGCAGCCAGGACUUGAAUCGGCGGCAUUCUGAUAUGGCAGGCAGGCGUUGCACGAAGUUUAAGGUGUUGUGUCACGAUGCCCCCGCCAGUGCCCAUAUCUUUGUCUUAACUCAUUC
Molecule: long non-coding RNA, 1315 nt
Filed under: Oryctolagus cuniculus (rabbit)
Lineage: Eukaryota; Metazoa; Chordata; Mammalia; Lagomorpha; Leporidae
Description: lncRNA (ENSOCUG00000033288.1)
Source: RNAcentral